CCAGAAGAAGCAACAAUCAUAGAAAUGAACGAGCCAGUAUCAUUGACAUUUGCAUUGAGGUACAUGAACUCCUUCACCAAGGCGACCCCAUUGUCAAACACGGUUACAAUCAGCUUGUCUUCAGAGCUCCCCGUUGUGGUUGAGUACAAGAUCGCUGAGAUGGGUUAUAUCAGGUUCUACUUGGCUCCAAAGAUAGAAGAAGAUGAGGAUGAGACCAAGCCCCAAGCUUAAACGGGUGGAAGAUAAGGAUGUGACUAAAUCCCAAGUUUAAACGGAUGGAAGAUGAGGAUGGGAUGAAGCCCCAACUUUAAUUGUCACUUGCAUUACUAGUCUUGUCUUCUUGUUCCUUGCAUUCACUGGAAAAA
RNAcentral lists this unclassified non-coding RNA (365 nucleotides) under Hevea brasiliensis (rubber tree). Lineage: Eukaryota; Viridiplantae; Streptophyta; Magnoliopsida; Malpighiales; Euphorbiaceae. The record is from RNAcentral.